AGGGGGCUAGUCUAAACAAGGCACUUGAUUUCGACUCAAAUACUUAUGGUUAAAGUCCAUAGCCCCCUC
This 69-nucleotide transfer RNA is filed under the name Pseudalutarius nasicornis (rhino leatherjacket). RNAcentral's name for it is "tRNA-Arg". It matches the Rfam family "tRNA". From Rfam's summary of the family: Transfer RNA (tRNA) molecules are approximately 80 nucleotides in length. Their secondary structure includes four short double-helical elements and three loops (D, anti-codon, and T loops). Further hydrogen bonds mediate the characteristic L-shaped molecular structure. tRNAs have two regions of fundamental functional importance: the anti-codon, which is responsible for specific mRNA codon recognition, and the 3' end, to which the tRNAs corresponding amino acid is attached (by aminoacyl-tRNA synthetases). tRNAs cope with the degeneracy of the genetic code in two manners: having more than one tRNA (with a specific anti-codon) for a particular amino acid; and 'wobble' base-pairing, i.e. permitting non-standard base-pairing at the 3rd anti-codon position. Lineage: Eukaryota; Metazoa; Chordata; Actinopteri; Tetraodontiformes; Monacanthidae. The record is from RNAcentral.